GCUCGGAUGGUGGAAUGGUAGACACGGAGGUCUCAAAAUCCUCUGCCUCAAGGCUUGCGGGUUCAAGUCCCGCUCUGAGCACCA
RNAcentral lists this transfer RNA (84 nucleotides) under Candidatus Altimarinota bacterium. Its description in RNAcentral is "tRNA-Leu". It matches the Rfam family "tRNA". Rfam says of the family: Transfer RNA (tRNA) molecules are approximately 80 nucleotides in length. Their secondary structure includes four short double-helical elements and three loops (D, anti-codon, and T loops). The record is from RNAcentral. Lineage: Bacteria; Candidatus Altimarinota.